This 492-nucleotide ribosomal RNA is filed under the name uncultured bacterium. RNAcentral's name for it is "partial 16S ribosomal RNA". It matches the Rfam family "Bacterial small subunit ribosomal RNA", at positions 29 to 507 of the family's 1533-position model. The record is from RNAcentral.
AGUGAACGCUGGCGGUAGGCCUAACACAUGCAAGUCGAACGGCAGCACAGUAAGAGCUUGCUCUUACGGGUGGCGAGAGGCGGACGGGUGAGGAAUACAUCGGAAUCUACUUUUUCGUGGGGGAUAACGUAGGGAAACUUACGCUAAUACCGCAUACGACCUACGGGUGAAAGCAGGGGAUCUUCGGACCUUGCGCGAUUGAAUGAGCCGAUGUCGGAUUAGCUAGUUGGCGGGGUAAAGGCCCACCAAGGCGACGAUCCGUAGCUGGUCUGAGAGGAUGAUCAGCCACACUGGAACUGAGACACGGUCCAGACUCCUACGGGAGGCAGCAGUGGGGAAUAUUGGACAAUGGGCGCAAGCCUGAUCCAGCCAUACCGCGUGGGUGAAGAAGGCCUUCGGGUUGUAAAGCCCUUUUGUUGGGAAAGAAAAGCAGCAGGUUAAUACCCUGCUGUUCUGACGGUACCCAAAGAAUAAGCACCGGCUAACUUCGUG